AUUGAACGCUGGCGGCAGGCCUAACACAUGCCAGUCGAGCGGAUGAAGGGAGCUUGCUCCUGGAUUCAGCGGCGGACGGGUGAGUAAUGCCUAGGAAUCUGCCUGGUAGUGGGGGAUAACGUCCGGAAACGGGCGCUAAUACCGCAUACGUCCUGAGGGAGGAAGUGGGGGAUCUUCGGACCUCACGCUAUCAGAUGAGCCUAGGUCGGAUUAGCUAGUUGGUGGGGUAAAGGCCUACCAAGGCGACGAUCCGUAACUGGUCUGAGAGGAUGAUCAGUCACACUGGAACUGAGACACGGUCCAGACUCCUACGGGAGGCAGCAGUGGGGAAUAUUGGACAAUGGGCGAAAGCCUGAUCCAGCCAUGCCGCGUGUGAGAAGAAGGUCUUCGGAUUGUAAAGCACUUUAAGUUGGGAGGAAGGGCAGUAAGUUAAUACCUUGCUGUUUUGACGUUACCAACAGAAUAAGCACCGGCUAACUUCGUG
This 484-nucleotide ribosomal RNA is filed under the name uncultured bacterium. Its description in RNAcentral is "partial 16S ribosomal RNA". It matches the Rfam family "Bacterial small subunit ribosomal RNA", at positions 30 to 507 of the family's 1533-position model. The record is from RNAcentral.